Molecule: ribosomal RNA, 305 nt
Filed under: uncultured bacterium
Lineage: Bacteria
Description: bacterial SSU rRNA
Rfam family: Bacterial small subunit ribosomal RNA
Source: RNAcentral
UUCCUACGGGGCGCAGCAGUGGGGAAUAUUGCACAAUGGGGGAAACCCUGAUGCAGCGACGCCGCGUGAGUGAAGAAGUAUCUCGGUAUGUAAAGCUCUAUCAGCAGGAAAGAUAAUGACGGUACCUGACUAAGAAGCCCCGGCUAACUACGUGCCAGCAGCCGCGGUAAUACGUAGGGGGCAAGCGUUGUCCGGAAUUACUGGGUGUAAAGGGAGCGUAGGCGGGAAGCCAAGUCAGCUGUGAAAACUACGGGCUUAACCUGUAGACUGCAGUUGAAACUGGCUUUCUUGAGUGAAGUAGAGGU